This 253-nucleotide ribosomal RNA is filed under the name uncultured bacterium. RNAcentral's name for it is "partial 16S ribosomal RNA". It matches the Rfam family "Bacterial small subunit ribosomal RNA", at positions 524 to 776 of the family's 1533-position model. The record is from RNAcentral.
UACAGAGGGUGCGAGCGUUAAUCGGAAUUACUGGGCGUAAAGCGUGCGUAGACGGUUAUGUAAGUCGGGUGUGAAAGCCCCGGGCUCAACCUGGGAAUUGCAUUCGAGACUGCAUAGCUAGGAUGCGGAAGAGGGAAGUGGAAUUUCCGGUGUAGCGGUGAAAUGCGUAGAUAUCGGAAGGAACAUCAGUGGCGAAAGCGACUUCCUGGUCCAGCAUCGACGUUCAGGCACGAAAGCGUGGGGAGCAAACAGG